Molecule: ribosomal RNA, 480 nt
Filed under: uncultured bacterium
Lineage: Bacteria
Description: partial 16S ribosomal RNA
Rfam family: Bacterial small subunit ribosomal RNA
Source: RNAcentral
GAUGAACGCUAGCGGCAGGCCUAACACAUGCAAGUCGAGGGGUAGAAGGAGCUUGCUCCUUUGAGACCGGCGCACGGGUGCGUAACGCGUAUGCAAUCUACCUUGUACAGGGGAAUAGCCCAGAGAAAUUUGGAUUAAUGCCCCAUAGUAUAUAACCUUCGCAUGUUGGUUAUAUUAAAGUUCCAACGGUACAAGAUGAGCAUGCGUCCCAUUAGUUAGUUGGUAAGGUAACGGCUUACCAAGACGAUGAUGGGUAGGGGACCUGAGAGGGAGAUCCCCCACACUGGUACUGAGACACGGACCAGACUCCUACGGGAGGCAGCAGUGAGGAAUAUUGGUCAAUGGUCGCAAGACUGAACCAGCCAUGCCGCGUGCAGGAAGACGGUCCUAUGGAUUGUAAACUGCUUUUAUACAGGAAGAAACCCUCCCACGUGUGGGAGCUUGACGGUACUGUAGGAAUAAGGAUCGGCUAACUCCGUG